RNAcentral lists this transfer RNA (74 nucleotides) under Methanobrevibacter sp. RNAcentral's name for it is "tRNA-Phe". It matches the Rfam family "tRNA". Rfam says of the family: Transfer RNA (tRNA) molecules are approximately 80 nucleotides in length. Lineage: Archaea; Methanobacteriati; Methanobacteriota; Methanobacteria; Methanobacteriales; Methanobacteriaceae. The record is from RNAcentral.
GGAACUUUGGCGUAGCUGGUGCGCGCGUUGGACUGAAAAUCCAAAGGACUGUAGUUCGAUUCUCAGAGGUUCCA